Heterocephalus glaber (naked mole-rat) is the source of this 2728-nucleotide long non-coding RNA. RefSeq lists it as uncharacterized. The record is from RefSeq and is a predicted model, not a curated record. Lineage: Eukaryota; Metazoa; Chordata; Mammalia; Rodentia; Bathyergidae.
CUGCGGGAUGGGGAAGGGUGUGAGUGUGAGUGUGCUUCGGUGUGAGUCUGGGAAGGGGGUGGGGAGUUAAAAAGCUUAAAGACCUCUUAAAAAAAAACCCCACACCCAGGUUAUAAACUCAGACACCUCCACCCUGUUAAGAAUUCCCGACUAGUGGAUAGAGGUCGGAGGGGGAGGAACAUUCAUCCCUCCCCACCUACAAGACCCGGAGCUGGAGGACCUUCUUGGACCUGCCUUGAGCCCCGGCGGGGGCCGCGGCCAGCCGUGAUGGGGCCGGGCUAGGCGCGGGAGUCCUGAGCGGCCGCGAAGAGGCGCAAUCCACUCUUCCCCUAUCCAUCUCGGGCAUCUCUGGUGCUAGGGACGGGUGGUUCGACGGCGUCCGAGGCCCAGGCCUCUCCUGCCUCCCGCUCCGAAGACAGCCGGAGAGCGUGCAGCCGGAGGAUCUCUAAGCACGCAGGAGUUGGAGAUCCUCUGGGGUCAGAGAUGGAGGAACUGGGAAGGGAGGGGAUUCCCGAUUUUACCACCAUCUCUGUUAGACUCCAAAUGGAGCCAGAAGCAAAGGAGAAACUCCCAGUCCGCAUAAGCUUCAGACCCCGUAAAUUGGACCUGCCCCUGUCUACGGAGUUGGUGAGCUAUCAAGGCAGAGUUGAACAGUAACAGUAGCCCCACUUUGCCUGAGCUUUUGCUCUGGGCCAGCACUGUUCCCCGUGCCCCACAACCACACAGACAAGGAGGUGCCAGGUGGCCUGCCCAGGGUCAUUCAGCCGGCGGCGGCUGCAAAGCUCAGGGCAACCCAGGAGCCUGUUCCCGCUGUUUCCUCACCGUCCUGGACCUGACAGGGAGUUUGGAAUCCCACACCUUCGCAGCUGGAGAGCGUGCCUCAAGGGCCCAAAGGGGUCCACCAACUGGCUUGAAGACGCACAGCUGGCAAAUGGUAGACACAGGAUUCAUUCGACAGCUCACAGGCCUCAGAGUUCUCCCUCCCACAUCACCAACUCUGGCCUGAGCCCAGGGCCCCUGGCAGUCACUCUGGGGCGGGUGGAGGGGACGCUCGGCAGGUGUCCUCCAAGGGCAGCUUGGGGUUGGGGGGAUUGGCACAGGCUGGAGCUCAGGGAGAGAUGCUUUCAGGACUCCCAUGUCGCCAGGGGCAGCAGCCAGCGACUCAGCAGCCCCCACCCCUUCAUUAACUGCAAGAUAAACUGGAGCCACAAAAGGUCGGGGAGGGAGCCGGGACCCAGCUGCCAAGCAGGCCCAGUGGCAAGGAGAGAGGGGUGGCGGAGGGAGGAGGAGGAGUGAGGGGGACCCAGAAGCAGGGGGACCCCCAGAUCGCCCCGCCCUGCUUUGGGCACAAUGGGCUGUCAGACGGUGGGGAGGGACGGGACCCCUCGCACAGCCCCCUUGGCAGAGCCAAACCUGCUGUGGUAGAAUAGGGACACUGAGAAUGUGGUCUUGGGUGAGGCUGGCCAAGGGGGGAGUGGGGUUUUGAGAGAGAAAGGAGACAGUUGCUGCCUUCUGCAUUCUCUCUCCAUAGGAAAAGUUCCUAGCUCCUCUUUUCCAAGCAUUCCCCUCUCCUUUGUCCCAGGAGCCCCUGUGCAUGUCAGCAGUGCCUUCCCAGUGUGGCCUGGCCCAUCCUGUGCUCUGAGCUCACCUCUUUGCUGAAGAAGCUGGCCCCUGCCCUCCAGUCCCCUUCUGUCUUACCUUGUCAGAGCUGCUCUUAACAAAGCUCCAUAAAGCCUCUGGCCCAAACAAUACGAUUGAUUUUCUCACAGUUGUGGAGGUUCUAAGUGUCUGGGCAAGGUGUUGCCUCCCCAGCUUGUGAGUGACUUCUCACUUUGUCCUCACAGGGUCUUCCCUCUGUCCUAAGUUCCUUUUUAUGUUUAUGUUCUGUUUCGUUUUCAGUAUGGAAGGAUUAAACUCAGGCAGGGCCUUCACACUGAGCCACAUCCCUGUACUUCUUUUAUUGUUUUGAGAUAGCAUCUAAGUCACUAAGUUGACCAUGCUGGGCUUGAACUUGUGAUCCUUCCUGUCUCAAUCUCUCAGGGUGCUGAAUUUGCAGGCAUGCACCACCACACCAACUUCAUUUCUUCUUCUUUUUUUUUUUUUGGUAGUAGGGAUUGAACUCAGGACCUUGAGCUUGUGAGGCAGGCGGUGGAACCACUGAGCUAAAUCCCUGGCCCUUUCAUUUCCUCUUAUUGAAAGGACAUCUGUCCUAUUGGGUUAGAGCCCACUCUGAUAACUUAUUUAACUUAAUUAUCUCUCUAAAGGCCUUAUCCCCAAAUACAGUCAAUUCUGAGGUACUGGGGUUAACUCUUCAAUAUAUAAAGUUUGGGGGAUCCAGUUCAGCUCAUAAUAUCUGCCAUGUCCUGACCAGCCUGUUACAAGGUCCUGCAGAAACAAGAUUACCUCAGCCCCCCUCACAUAUCCAGGACCUCUCAGAAGUACCUAGUCACAUGGUCCCAUGUUACCUGCCAAAUAUAAACAGGCACUCAGGGAUGCCAGCUACUUGGUACCCAGUAUAGAGCUGAUCUCUGGCUGCUUUCUCAGCAAUUUGGGAGCCUCCUAUUGCAGAAUAAUAACUCUUCAGUUCCUUUGGUCCUUUAGGAAUCUCUUCUCUUCCUCCUUCAUAUGUUUCAAUUCCUUUAAAUAAUUUACUGUGAAUAGACUCAAAGUUUCCAAAAAUGAUAUAAAAAUGAAUAUAUUGGAGAGCCUUGUUCCUACCACCAGCCCC